CAGCAGCCGCGGUAAUACGUAGGUGGCAAGCGUUGUCCGGAAUUAUUGGGCGUAAAGGGCUCGCAGGCGGUUUCUUAAGUCUGAUGUGAAAGCCCCCGGCUCAACCGGGGAGGGUCAUUGGAAACUGGGAAACUUGAGUGCAGAAGAGGAGAGUGGAAUUCCACGUGUAGCGGUGAAAUGCGUAGAGAUGUGGAGGAACACCAGUGGCGAAGGCGACUCUCUGGUCUGUAACUGACGCUGAGGAGCGAAAGCGUGGGGAGCGAACAGGAUUAGAUACCCGGGUAGUCCCUGUCUCUUAUAC
RNAcentral lists this ribosomal RNA (301 nucleotides) under uncultured bacterium. RNAcentral's name for it is "partial 16S ribosomal RNA". It matches the Rfam family "Bacterial small subunit ribosomal RNA", at positions 509 to 807 of the family's 1533-position model. The record is from RNAcentral.